Molecule: long non-coding RNA, 823 nt
Filed under: Serinus canaria (Common canary)
Lineage: Eukaryota; Metazoa; Chordata; Aves; Passeriformes; Fringillidae
Description: lncRNA (ENSSCAG00000001741.1)
Source: RNAcentral
CCCGUCCCGCGGCCAUUCCAGGGUGGAUCCCGACGGAUCCACACCCUUCCCACAAAACCUCCAGUUUUCCAAGGAAAAACCCAAAACCUCCAUUUUUUCCUUGGGAAUCCCCAAAACCUCCAUUUUUUCCAAGGAAAACCCCAAAAUCUCCAUUUUUCCAAGGAAAACUCCAAAACCUCCAGUUUUCCAAGGGAAAACCACAAAACCUCCAUUUUUUUCCAAGCAAACCCCAAAACCUCCAUUUUUUUUUUUUUGAGGUGAACCCCAAACCCUCCAUUUUUUCCAACCUCCAUUUUUCUCCAAGGAAACCCCCAAACCCUCCAUUUUUUGUCCAACCUCCAUUUUUUCCAAGGAAAGUCCCAAAUUCUCCAUUUUUUUCCAACCUCCCUUUUUUUCCAAGGAAAAACCCCAAAACCUCCAUUUUUCAAAAUAACCCCCAAAACCUCCAAUUUUUCCAAGGAAAACCCCCCAAACCUCCAUUUUUUUCCAGCCUCAAUUUCUUCCAAUCUCCAUUUUUUCCAACCUCCAUUUUUCCAAGGAAAACCUCCAUUUUUUUUUCCAAGCAAAUCCCAAAACCUCCAUUUUUUUGAGGUAAACCCCCAAAACCUCCAUUUUUUGUCCAACCUCCAUUUUUUGUCCAACCUCCAUUUUCUUCCAACCUCCAUUUUUCCAAUGAAAACCUCCAUUUUUCCAAGGAAAAACCCCAAAACCUCCAUUUUUUGUCCAACCUCCAUUUUUUUUUCCAAGCAAAUCCCACAACCUCCAUUUUUUUUAGAGGUAAAACCCCAAAAUCUCCAUUUUCUUCCAACCUCCAUUUUUCCAA